GUCCACGCUGUAAACUAUGGAUGCUAGCUGUUAUCAGUAUCGAUCCUGGUAGUAGCGAAGCUAACGCGUUAAGCAUCCCGCCUGUGGAGUACGAGCGCAAGCUUAAAACAUAAAGGAAUUGACGGGGACCCCGCACAAGCGGUGGAGCGUGUUGUUUAAUCCGACGGUAAGCGUAGAACCUUACCAGGGUUUGACAUCUCGGGAAUCUUUGCGAAAGCAGAGAGUGCCUUUUGGAACCCGAAGACAGAUGAUGCAUGGCCGUCGU
Molecule: ribosomal RNA, 265 nt
Filed under: uncultured bacterium
Lineage: Bacteria
Description: partial 16S ribosomal RNA
Rfam family: Bacterial small subunit ribosomal RNA
Source: RNAcentral